GCCAUUAAUACUUUAGGUUUCCAAAUAAGAAACUGAGGUUGAAUAUGGGUCAGUGACAAGUCCAAGGUCACACAGCCAGUAGAUGGCAGAGCUGGAAUUAGACCACCAGUGUGAUAUGCCCCAAAGCACUAGUUGACUCCACUGUACCAGGUAUUAGAUGCACAAAGUUUGCUCUUUUUCUUCACCCUUCAUUUUGUUUCUUAAGAUGAACAUUUGAAUGCUACAAUGUACCUAGCUUUGUGCAUGCACACAAAUAAGUAUCAUCAGAUUCUUUGUACAGAUGUAGAAGCUGAAACUCAGAAACACUAAAUAAUCUAACAAAAAUUAACAAUUACUGAGAGAUCUGAGAUUUGGGCUCUGACUUUCUGAUUAUUGCUAUAGACUAUUGCUUUAAUCCAUCCUCUACUGACUCAUUUGCUCAUCAUUCAUCUCUAAUUAUGAAGUAUGUUUCUGUUUCUGUUUACAUCCCAAGAGUUGCUGGUUUAUUUAAAUGGACAUCUGCAUUUAUUAAGGUCCCUGGCUCAUCUAAUUGCGAUCUGUUUUUCUGCCCAUAGAGGAAUGGAGGGUUAUCUUUGGUGUAUAAGAUUGUUUCUCAGACUCCCAUCAGCUCAAGAAGAGCGAUGUGUCCCAUGAGGGCAGAGGACAAGCUGGCUGAAUGGAGAGAAUGUCAUCUCUGAGCCUAAGGAGGGGUUACCGCUCCAGUUAGUCUUAAAAGAGGUGACGGAAGAGCCUUAUAAAAAGAAUUACUGGGAGAGUUUCACAAAAAUAAAUAAAGGCCACUCAUGUUUCCCAAGGCUAUACUUUGUGUCUAUAAAGACCCAGGGACACAGAGCCCAAAUGUGGUUUGUUUGUUUGUUUAUUAUUUAUUUAUUAGAUACAGGUUCUUGCUCUGUUGCCCAGACUAGAGUGCAGUGGCACAAUCAUAGCUCACUGCAACCUUUAACUUCUGGGUUCAAGCGAUCCUCCCACUUCAUCCUCCUUAGUAGCUAGGGCCACAGUUGUGCACCUCCAUGCCUAUUUUACUUUUUUGUAGAGAUAACGUCUCCCUAUUUUGCCCAGGCUGGUCUCAAACUCCUGAUCUAAAGCAAUCCUCCCACCUAGGCCUUCCUAAGUGCUAGGAUUACAGAUAUAAACCACUGCACGCAGCCCCAAGUGUGGUUUGAUCAAAGUCAGUGAAAGAGCUUGGCAGUAGCCAGGCUCCGUGACUACUAACUUCCUGUUAGAACUAGGUAUUCUGUCCAAACCCUUGGAGUAUGACACACAGGGAUCAAAUUACCCAUGGCGUGAAGAAAUUGCUCUGCCUGGCAGUUGCUUCCCUCUAGUGGUCACUUUGCCUACAAGCAAGAAGAUGCUUGGAUUUGAAUCUUAGAAUUGAAAAUCCAACAGAUAAAAAUAGGAUGCUGUUUUACCAAGAAAGUUGGGUGUGGACCUCCAUACACUCUCAGAGGAGUAUGAUGGCAACAACAGCAACGACAUAAAAUACAGAGGUGUGCUUGUAUUCUGGUCUUUGCAAAAGUGUGUUUUGUGAAAUAUGUUAGAGGAAAAAAAUUAAUUAAAAUAUUCUGGCCGGGUGCGGUGGCUCAUGCCUGUAAUCCCAGCUCUUUGGGAGGCCGAGGUGGGCGGAUCACGAGGUCAGGAGAUCGAGACCUUCCUGGCUAAUACGGUGAAACCCCGUCUCUACUAAAAAUACAAAAAAUUAGCCGGGCGAGGUGGCUGCUGCCUGUAGUCCCAGCUACUCAGGAGGCUGAGGCAGGAGAAUGGCGUGAACCCGGGAGGCGGAGCUUGCAGUGAGCGGAGAUCGCGCCACUGCACUCCAGCCUGGGCGACAGGAGCGAGACUCCGUCUCAAAAAAAAAAAAAAAAAAAAAAAAAAAACUCUAAUCUGGGAUAGAUGAACACACACAUAAUUUCUUUUUAAAAAAUUGAGAAAUGUCGAUAUGUGUUGUUCCUUUUUUCUGCCUCAUUUCAUGAAUUCCCAUUUUAAAAAUGGGACAGUUGAGGUCCACAGGACAGUCACACAGUGGUUAAAAAUGGGACAGUUGAGGUCCAUAGGACAGUCACACAGUGUUCCAAUGCUGUGCUUAUGCAAUGACAAUGUCUUUUGGAAAUAUGUAUCAAGACAGAACCUCUAUUGGCCUGUGUGCCUGCCUGAACUAUGCUGAACAGAGACCCAUGCUAACUGAUAACAUACUGUAGUGUGAACAGAAAAUAAAUGUAUGUGAAGAAAAAAAGAACUUAAACAAGAAGUCCUCGAGAUCUUUUUGUUAUUUGCUUCUGCAGCAUAACCUCAGUUACCCUGAAUUCUAUAACACAUCUUUCAUUAGCUAGCUUCUGUUUUGCUCCCCUCUGGUUCAAAGGGUACAGGGGACAAGGAGAUGGGUCAUUUAUUAUUCCUGAUUGACUUCUCACUCUCUAGGCCCUGCCGAAGAUUAAAGCUGACUUCCUUUCUCUUGGGGUGUUUCCCUGAACUCCUCAGAGGUUUCAUGUUGGACACUCCUCCCCUGCAGCUUCUUUGACCCCAGGCUUUUCUAGCUAUUCUAGGAGGUCUCUGGGGAUCUGUCCUCAUUAUCUGGGCCUUCACACACAAGUAUACCCCCAGUCUCCUUUUGUAAGUUUUCCUUCUCCCUCCAGGCAGACCUACUGGACAAAACCAACCAAGACUCCAGUGAGCUCUGUAUCAUUGGCCCACACAUGUUCCCUGGGAAACAAUCACUGGCUCCUUGCCCUGAUGAACUUUCUAACUGCAGACCUUCCUUUGGAAAUCAUUUUUAUUCUUCCUGGAGUUAAUCCUUUAAACACUGCUCUAGUGACACCUGCUGGUAUUAAUAAUUUGUUUGCAUUUAUCUGACUAGUCGUUUUAUUCUCUUUCUUAAAAGAUAAUUUGUGGGCCGGGCACUGUGGCUCACACCUGUAAUCCCAGCACUUUGCGGGGCUAAGGUGAACGGCUCAUGACGUCAGGAGAUCGAGACCAUCCUGGCUAACACGGUGAAACUCUGUCUCUACUAAAAAUACAAAAAAUUAGCCAGGCAUGGUGCCACACCCCUGUAGUACCAGCUACUUGGGAGACUGAGGCAGGAGAAUUGCUUGAACCCAGAAAGGUGGUGGUUGC
RNAcentral lists this long non-coding RNA (3108 nucleotides) under Homo sapiens (human). Its description in RNAcentral is "HSALNT0154464". The record is from RNAcentral. Lineage: Eukaryota; Metazoa; Chordata; Mammalia; Primates; Hominidae.